AGGACGAACGCUGGCGGCGUGCCUAACACAUGCAAGUUGAGCGACGAACCAGGGCUUGCCCUGGGGCAAAGCAGCGAACGGGUGAGUAACACGUGGGUAACCUGCCCCGAUAACCGGGACAACCCGAGGAAACUCGGGCUAAUACCGGAUGUGCUCGUCAGACCCAAGUCUGACGCGUAAAGGAAGCUUCGGCCUCCGUAUCGGGAGGGGCCCGCGGCCCAUUAGUUAGUUGGUGAGGUAACGGCUCACCAAGACCGCGAUGGGUAGCUGGUCUGAGAGGACGAUCAGCCACACUGGGACUGAGACACGGCCCAGACUCCUACGGGAGGCAGCAGUGGGGAAUAUUGCGCAAUGGGCGAAAGCCUGACGCAGCGACGCCGCGUGAGGGAUGAAGGCCUUCGGGUCGUAAACCUCUUUCAGCAGGGAAGAAGCGAAAGUGACGGUACCUGCAGAAGAAGCACCGGCUAACUACGUGCCAGCAGCCGC
Molecule: ribosomal RNA, 486 nt
Filed under: uncultured bacterium
Lineage: Bacteria
Description: SSU rRNA
Rfam family: Bacterial small subunit ribosomal RNA
Source: RNAcentral